GAACCUGCGGAAGGAUCAUCA
This 21-nucleotide ribosomal RNA is filed under the name Pilobolus kleinii. Its description in RNAcentral is "partial 18S ribosomal RNA". Lineage: Eukaryota; Fungi; Mucoromycota; Mucoromycetes; Mucorales; Pilobolaceae. The record is from RNAcentral.